This 380-nucleotide ribosomal RNA is filed under the name uncultured Methanosarcina sp. RNAcentral describes it as "bacterial SSU rRNA". It matches the Rfam family "Archaeal small subunit ribosomal RNA", at positions 501 to 879 of the family's 1478-position model. Lineage: Archaea; Methanobacteriati; Methanobacteriota; Methanomicrobia; Methanosarcinales; Methanosarcinaceae. The record is from RNAcentral.
UUAUUGGGUCUAAAGGGUCCGUAGCCGGUUKGGUCAGUCYUCCGGGAAAUCUGAUAGCUCAACUAUUAGGCUAUCGGGGGAUACUGCCAGGCUUGGAACCGGGAGAGGUAAGAGGUACUACAGGGGUAGGAGUGAAAUCUUGUAAUCCCUGUGGGACCCACCUGUGGCGAAGGCGUCUUACCAGAACGGGUUCGACGGUGAGGGACGAAAGCUGGGGGCACGAACCGGAUUAGAUACCCGGGUAGUCCCAGCCGUAAACGAUGCUCGCUAGGUGUCAGGCAUGGCGCGACCGUGUCUGGUGCCGCAGGGAAGCCGUGAAGCGAGCCACCUGGGAAGUACGGCCGCAAGGCUGAAACUUAAAGGAAUUGGCGGGGGAGCAC